AGAGUCCUGAAGUGUACGUUGGUAUACCUGAAGUUUUGACCGAACAUUUUAUCUAAGGGAGUCUAGAGUUUUCUAGCAGCGUAAAUGCCCCAAUCCAUCGGGAUUUAAGGGGACUUACAAAAGCUGGAAACAGGACACCCACCUGCCGAGGGCGGGAUCAAAACAAAGGUUUAAAACGACGGCACGCUCGGGACUCUU
RNAcentral lists this non-coding RNA (198 nucleotides) under Neobacillus sp. PS3-12. RNAcentral describes it as "6S RNA". It matches the Rfam family "6S / SsrS RNA". From Rfam's summary of the family: E. coli 6S RNA was the first non coding RNA to be sequenced, but its function was unknown until recently. It consists of 184 nucleotides that fold into an extended hairpin structure with a large single-stranded internal bulge. The record is from RNAcentral. Lineage: Bacteria; Bacillati; Bacillota; Bacilli; Caryophanales; Bacillaceae.